GUAGUCUCGCACAGAUGCAUAUCAAUAAGCGGAGGAAAAGAAACUAACAAGGAUUCCCCUUAGUAACGGCGAGUGAAGCGGGAAGAGCUCAAAUUUGAAAUCUUCAAGGGUUUACCUUUACGAAUUGUAGUUUAAAGAAGUGUUUUCUGUUAAGGUUUUGGUAAAAGUUCUUUGGAAUAGGACAUCAUAGAGGGUGAGAAUCCCGUAUUUGACCAUUACUUUCAGCUGUGUGAUACACUUUCAAAGAGUCGGAUUGUUUGGGAAUGCAGUCCAAAAUGGGUGGUAAAUUUCAUCUAAAGCUAAAUAUUGGCGAGAGACCGAUAGCGAACAAGUACCGUGAGGGAAAGAUGAAAAGAACUUUGAAAAGAGAGUUAAACAGUACGUGAAAUUGUCAAAAGGGAAGCGUUUGACACCAGUGUUGUUUUUCUGAAAAUCAAUUAAAGAACUGUUUAUGCUAAGUUGUUUAGACUUUAUCAGCUAACUGUUUAGUUUUGAGCUUUUCUUUAAUGCACUUUUCAGUUAACAAGUCAACAUCAAUUUCUUUUGCUGUAAAAAAGCUUGAGGAAGGUGGCUUGAGAUUCGUCUUAAGUGUUUAUAGCCUCUUGCCUAUGCAGUCGGAGAGAUUGAGGUCUGCAGCGUAGAUCCUUCGGGGCUAAAUGCAUUUGUGCUAAGUUAUAGCAUUUUAUAGACAACUUGUUGACUAUGAUUUAGUCUUGUAGCUUACUCGCUUAUGUUAUUUUACCUACGCUUAGGAUGUUGAUGUGAUACUGCGAGCA
Molecule: ribosomal RNA, 776 nt
Filed under: uncultured Neocallimastigales
Lineage: Eukaryota; Fungi; Neocallimastigomycota; Neocallimastigomycetes; Neocallimastigales
Description: partial large subunit ribosomal RNA
Rfam family: Eukaryotic large subunit ribosomal RNA
Source: RNAcentral